Molecule: long non-coding RNA, 224 nt
Filed under: Jatropha curcas
Lineage: Eukaryota; Viridiplantae; Streptophyta; Magnoliopsida; Malpighiales; Euphorbiaceae
Description: long non-coding RNA (JCUR_LNC001313)
Source: RNAcentral
CCAAGCUGGAGAAUACAGAAUUAUGAUGAACAAAGCAGCAAUGAAGCUUUGAAAAUAAACUUGGACUUAGCCGAGGAAAGACGGAGCAAGUCAGCAAUCCAAGCUGAAGCUUAUCACCAGAACUGCCACAAUCAGAAAGUCAGUUUGCGUUGAUUUUGUGUAAAAUGGUGACAAUCUAUUAUUCCAUCACAUGUAAAACACAUUUACAAUCCUUUCAAUACAUA